This 449-nucleotide ribosomal RNA is filed under the name uncultured bacterium. RNAcentral describes it as "bacterial SSU rRNA". It matches the Rfam family "Bacterial small subunit ribosomal RNA", at positions 355 to 825 of the family's 1533-position model. The record is from RNAcentral.
UCGAGAAUCUUUCACAAUGGGCGAAAGCCUGAUGGAGCGACGCCGCGUGGAGGAUGAAGGCCUUCGGGUUGUAAACUCCUGUCAUGAGGGAACAAGAAAGUGAUAGUACCUCAAGAGGAAGAGACGGCUAACUCUGUGCCAGCAGCCGCGGUAAUACAGAGGUCUCAAGCGUUGUUCGGAUUUACUGGGCGUAAAGGGUGCGUAGGCGGUGGCGUAAGUCGAGUGUGAAAUCUUCCGGCCUAACCGGAAACUGCACUCGAUACUGCGUCACUAGAGGACUGUAGAGGAGACUGGAAUUCACGGUGUAGCAGUGAAAUGCGUAGAUAUCGUGAGGAGGACCGGUGGCGAAAGCGAGUCUCUGGGCAGUUCCUGACGCUGAGGCACGAAGGCUAGGGGAGCAAACGGGAUUAGAUACCCCCGUAGUCCCUGAGCGGGCUGGCAAGGCGCAU